This 468-nucleotide ribosomal RNA is filed under the name uncultured bacterium. RNAcentral describes it as "partial 16S ribosomal RNA". It matches the Rfam family "Bacterial small subunit ribosomal RNA", at positions 28 to 507 of the family's 1533-position model. The record is from RNAcentral.
GACGAACGCUGGCGGCGUGCUUAACACAUGCAAGUCGAACGGAAAGGCCCUGCUUUUGUGGGGUGCUCGAGUGGCGAACGGGUUAGUAACACGUGAGUAACCUGCCCUUGACUUUGGGAUAACUUCAGGAAACUGUGGCUAAUACCGGAUAGGAUCUCCUGCUGCAUGGUGGGUGUUGGAAAGUUUCGGCGGUUGGGGAUGGACUCGAGGCUUAUCAGAUUUUUGGUGGGGUAGUGGCUUACCAAGGCUUUGACGGGUAGCAGGCCUGGGAGGGUGACCGGCCACAUUGGGACUGAGAUACGGCACAGACUCCUCCGGGAGGCAGGAGUGGAGAAUGUUGCACAAUGGGAGGAAGCGUGAUGCAGCGACGCCGCGUGCGGGAUGACGGCAUUCGGGUUGUAAACCGCUUUCGCCUGUGAUGAAGCGUGAGUGACGGUAAUGGGUAAAGAAGCACCGGCUAACUACGUG